GUGUCAGCAGCCGCGGUAAUACAGAGAGUGCGAACGUUGUUCGGAAUCACUGGGCUUAAAGCGCACGUAGGCGGCAUCGUAAGUGUCGGGUGAAAUCCCACGGCUCACCCGUGGAACUGCCCGGCAGACUGCGAUGCUCGAGUGUGGUAGGGGAGAACGGAACUCCUGGUGGAGCGGUGAAAUGCGUAGAUAUCAGGAGGAACACCGGUGGCGAAGGCGGUUCUCUGGUCCACAACUGACGCUGAGGUGCGAAAGCUAGGGGAGCAAACGGGAUUAGAAACCCUCGUAGUCC
RNAcentral lists this ribosomal RNA (292 nucleotides) under uncultured bacterium. Its description in RNAcentral is "partial 16S ribosomal RNA". It matches the Rfam family "Bacterial small subunit ribosomal RNA", at positions 505 to 796 of the family's 1533-position model. The record is from RNAcentral.